This 468-nucleotide ribosomal RNA is filed under the name uncultured bacterium. Its description in RNAcentral is "partial 16S ribosomal RNA". It matches the Rfam family "Bacterial small subunit ribosomal RNA", at positions 28 to 507 of the family's 1533-position model. The record is from RNAcentral.
GACGAACGCUGGCGGCGUGCUUAACACAUGCAAGUCGAACGGAAAGGCCCUGCUUUUGUGGGGUGCUCGAGUGGCGAACGGGUGAGUAACACGUGAGUAACCUGCCCUUGACUUUGGGAUAACUUCAGGAAACUGGGGCUAAUACCGGAUAGGAGCUCCUGCUGCAUGGUGGGGGUUGGAAAGUUUCGGCGGUUGGGGAUGGACUCGCGGCUUAUCAGCUUGUUGGUGGGGUAGUGGCUUACCAAGGCUUUGCCGGGUAGCCGGCCUGAGAGGGUGACCGGCCACAUUGGGACUGGGAUACGGCCCAGACUCCUACGGGAGGCAGCAGUGGGGAAUAUUGCACAAUGAGCGGAAGCCUGAUGCAGCAACGCCGCGUGCGGGAUGUCGGCCUUCGGGUUGUAAAGCGCUUUCGCCUGUGACGAAGCGUGAGUGACGGUAAUGGGUAAAGAAGCACCGGCUAACUACGUG